UGAAUACGAGAUGCUACGGCGUCGAAGCAGUCUAUGUCAUACUUCCAAGAAAAGCUCGCACUGUCAUAAACAAAUAAUGCCUGUACCAUAACCGACACAGGUGGGUAGGUAGAGUAUACUAAGGGGCGCGAGAUAACUCUCUCUAAGGAACUCGGCAAAAUGACUCCGUAACUUCGGGAGAAGGAGUGCCUUAUUUAUAAGGUUGCAAUAACAAGAUCCAAGCAACUGUUUAUCAAAAACACAGGUCUCCGCUAAGUCGUAAGACGAUGUAUGGGGGCUGACGCCUGCCCAGUGCCAGAAGGUUAAAGAAGUUGGUUAGCAUUCGCGAAGCUGAUAACUGAAGCCCUGGUGAACGGCGGCCGUAACAAUAACGGUCCUAAGGUAGCGAAAUUCCUUGUCGGGUAAGUUCCGACCCGCACGAAAGGCGUAAUGAUUUGGAUACUGUCUCGGAGAGGGGCUCGGUGAAAUAGACUUGUCUGUGAAGAUGCGGACUACCUGCACCAGGACAGAAAGACCCUAUGAAGCUUUACUGUAACUUGGGAUUGAAAUUGGACUUUACUUGCGCAGUAUAGGUGGGAGGCGUUGAUAAUAUUCUUGCGGGAUUAUUUGAGCCAUCAGUGAGAUACCACUCUUGUAAUGUUAGAUUUCUAACUUUGUAUCAUUAUCUGGUCAAAGGACAGUUUCAGGCGGGCAGUUUGACUGGGGCGGUCGCCUCCUAAACGGUAACGGAGGCGCACAAAGGUUUCCUCUGAACGGGUAGAAAUCGUAUCUAGAGUGUAAAGGCAUAAGGAAGCUUGACUGUGAGACCUACAAGUCGAGCAGGGACGAAAGUCGGUCUUAGUGAUCUGACGGUGCUGAGUGGAAAGGCCGUCACUCAACGGAUAAAAGUUACUCUAAGGAUAACAGGCUGAUCUCCCCCAAGAGUUCACAUCGACGGGGAGGUUUGGCACCUCGAUGUCUGCUCAUCGCAUCCUGGGGCGGUAGUACGUCCCAAGGGUUGGGCUGUUCGCCCAUGAAAGCGGUACGCGAGCUGGGUUCAGAACGUCGUGAGACAGUUCGGUCCAUAUCCGGUGUAGGCGUUAGAAUAUUGAGAGGAGCCUUCUUUAGUACGAGAGGACCGAGAAGGACAUACCUCUGGUGUACCAGUUAUCGUGCCAACGGUAAACGCUGGGUAGCUAUGUAUGGAGUGGAUAACCGCUGAAAGCAUCUAAGUGGGAAGCCCACCUCAAGAUAAGUAUUCUC
This 1242-nucleotide ribosomal RNA is filed under the name metagenome. RNAcentral describes it as "bacterial LSU rRNA". It matches the Rfam family "Bacterial large subunit ribosomal RNA", at positions 1564 to 2815 of the family's 2925-position model. The record is from RNAcentral.